This 361-nucleotide unclassified non-coding RNA is filed under the name uncultured bacterium. Its description in RNAcentral is "contains 16S-23S intergenic spacer region". The record is from RNAcentral.
UCCCCGUUGCCGGGGCAGUCUAGCUAGAGAAAUUCAACUAACUAUAAGGGUUGCGCUCGUUGAUGGACUUAACCAAACAUCUCACGACACGAGCUGACGACGGCCAUGCAACACCUGUCAUCGGGUUCCAAAGGCACAGUCUCCUUUCGGAGACCUUCCCGAGAUGUCAAACCCUGGUAAGGUUCUUCGCUUACCAUCGAAUUAAACAACACGCUCCACCGCUUGUGCGGGUCCCCGUCAAUUCCUUUGUGUUUUAGUCUUGCGACCGUACUCCACAGGCGGGACGCUUAACGCGUUAGCUUCGCUACUACCAGGGUCGAUACUGAUAACAGCUAGCGUCCAUAGUUUACGGCGUGGACUA